CUGCUGCCUUCCGUAGGAGUUUGGACCGCGUCUCAGUUCCAAUGUGGGGGACCUUCCUCUCAGAACCCCUAUCCAUCGUUGUCUUGGUGGGCCGUUACCCCGCCAACUAACUAAUGGAACGCAUCCCCAUCCCAUACCGAAAUUCUUUAAUAAUCCCAUCAUGCGGUAGGACUAUGACAUCGGGUAUUAAUCUUUCUUUCGAAAGGCUAUCCCCGAGUAUGAGGCAGGUUGGAUACGUGUUACUCACCCGUGCGCCGGUCGCCCAUCAAAAGUUUG
RNAcentral lists this ribosomal RNA (276 nucleotides) under uncultured bacterium. RNAcentral's name for it is "partial 16S ribosomal RNA". The record is from RNAcentral.